AUAUGGAAGCUGUGAAAACAAAAAAACUCCCUAACCCUGGAACAGGAUCUUAUGACACAGUUGCAGCAGCCAUAAAGGAUCCACUCAUUCUGGCCAAAUUUCACUUCUACGCAGCACUUGCCAGGACCUUCACGCCCUUCCUAACAAAAUAUCAAACAGACGAGCCGGUGCUCCCAUUCCUCUCCAAGGACCUGACCGAAUUGAUGAUAAGUCUACUCAGACGCUUCAUAAAGAGAGAAGUUCUCAACGAUAUCACUGCCCUGCAGCUGACCAAACUGGAUGUCACAGACAAGACCAUCUGGCUCAGCCCACAAAACAUCAGCAUUGGUCUAGGUGCAGAGUCAGUUCUUAAGGUAGUGGGAUGUUUUCAAAGAUCAUUUUACAAAUGGUUAGGCGAAACCAGGUCAGUGAAGGCAUGUUCUAUAUUCAUGGCUAAUUUCUUUCUCUCUAGAGCAUUAAAGGUGCAGAGCUCAGGGUGCUAGAGUUCAAGAGAGAGUGCAUGC
Molecule: long non-coding RNA, 503 nt
Organism: Eleginops maclovinus (Patagonian blennie)
Lineage: Eukaryota; Metazoa; Chordata; Actinopteri; Perciformes; Eleginopidae
Exons: 3
Source: RefSeq, a predicted model, not a curated record